Molecule: non-coding RNA, 110 nt
Organism: Acanthosepion pharaonis
Lineage: Eukaryota; Metazoa; Mollusca; Cephalopoda; Sepiida; Sepiidae
Source: the annotation of a GenBank genome assembly
CAGCCACAUCAUGUUGAAACACCGGUUCCUGCACGACCACCAAAGUUAAGCAAUGUUGAGCCUGGUCAGUACCAAGAUAGGUGACUGCUUGGGAAUACCAGAUACUGUAA